UACGGAAGGCAGCAGGGGGGAAUAUUGCACAAUGGGCGCAAGCCUGAUGCAGCCAUGCCGCGUGUAUGAAAAAGGCCUUCGGGUUGUAAAGUACUUUCAGUCGUGAGGAAGGUGUUAAGGUUAAUAACCUUAGCAAUUGACGUUAGCGACAGAAGAAGCACCGGCUAACUCCGUGCCAGCAGCCGCGGUAAUACGGAGGGUGCGAGCGUUAAUCGGAAUUACUGGGCGUAAAGGGCACGCAGGCGGUUAAUUAAGUUGGAUGUGAAAUCCCCGGGCUUAACCUGGGAAUGGCAUUCAAGACUGGUUAGCUAGAGUCUUGUAGAGGGGGGUAGAAUUCCAUGUGUAGCGGUGAAAUGCGUAGAGAUGUAGAGGAAUACCGGUGGCGAAAGGCGGCCCCCUGGACAAAGACUGACGCUCAUGUGCGAAAGCGUGGGGAGCAAACAGGGAUUAGAUACC
Molecule: ribosomal RNA, 456 nt
Filed under: uncultured bacterium
Lineage: Bacteria
Description: bacterial SSU rRNA
Rfam family: Bacterial small subunit ribosomal RNA
Source: RNAcentral